ACGCUGGCGGCAGGCCUAACACAUGCAAGUCGAGCGGUAGAGAGAAGCUUGCUUCUCUUGAGAGCGGCGGACGGGUGAGUAAUGCCUAGGAAUCUGCCUGGUAGUGGGGGAUAACGUUCGGAAACGGACGCUAUACCGCAUACGUCCUACGGGAGAAAGCAGGGGACCUUCGGGCCUUGCGCUAUCAGAUGAGCCUAGGUCGGAUUAGCUAGUUGGUGGGGUAAUGGCUCACCAAGGCGACGAUCCGUAACUGGUCUGAGAGGAUGAUCAGUCACACUGGAAUUGAGACACGGUCCAGACUCCUACGGGAGGCAGCAGUGGGGAAUAUUGGACAAUGGGCGAAAGCCUGAUCCAGCCAUGCCGCGUGUGUGAAGAAGGUCUUCGGAUUGUAAAGCACUUUAAGUUGGGAGGAAGGGUUGUAGAUUAAUACUCUGCAAUUUUGACGUUACCGACAGAAUAAGCACCGGCUAACUCUGUGCCAGCAGCCGCGGUAAUACAGAGGGUGCAAGCGUUAAUCGGAAUUACUGGGCGUAAAGCGCGCGUAGGUGGUUAGUUAAGUUGGAUGUGAAAUCCCCGGGCUCAACCUGGGAACUGCAUUCAAAACUGACUGACUAGAGUAUGGUAGAGGGUGGUGGAAUUUCCUGUGUAGCGGUGAAAUGCGUAGAUAUAGGAAGGAACACCAGUGGCGAAGGCGACCACCUGGACUGAUACUGACACUGAGGUGCGAAAGCGUGGGGAGCAAAC
Molecule: ribosomal RNA, 744 nt
Filed under: uncultured bacterium
Lineage: Bacteria
Description: bacterial SSU rRNA
Rfam family: Bacterial small subunit ribosomal RNA
Source: RNAcentral